Molecule: long non-coding RNA, 983 nt
Filed under: Phasianus colchicus (ring-necked pheasant)
Lineage: Eukaryota; Metazoa; Chordata; Aves; Galliformes; Phasianidae
Description: lncRNA (ENSPCLG00000014084.1)
Source: RNAcentral
AUGUCCCCAGUGUUCAUUGGGUGGUGGUGGCACUCAGGUGUCCCCAGUGUCCCCAACGUCCUUUGGGUGGUGGUGGCACUCAGGCGUCCCCAGUGUCCCCAACGUCCUUUGGGUGGAGGUGGCACUCGGGUGUCCCCAAUGUCCCCAGUGUCCGUUGGGUGGUGGUGGCACUCGGGUGUCUCCAGUGUCCCCAGUGUUCAUUGGGUGGUGGUGGGACUCAGAUGUCCCCGGUGUCCCCAGCAUCCAUUGGGUGGUGGUGGCACUCGGGUGUCCCCAAUGUCCCCAGUGUUCAUUGGGUGGUGGUGGCACUCAGGUGUCCCCAAUGUCCCCAGUGUCCGUUGGGUGGUGGUGGCACUCAGAUGUCCCCAGUGUCCCCAAGGUCCUUUGGGUGGUGGUGGCACUCGGGUGUCUCCAGUGUCCCCAGUGUCCGUUGGGAGGUGGUGGCACUCAGGUGACCCCAGUGUCCCCAGUGUCCUUUGGAUGGAGGUGGCAUUUAGGUGUCUUGGGUGUCCCCAAUGUCCAUUGGGUGGAGGUGACACUCAGAUGUCCCCAAUGUCCUUUGGGUGGUGGUGGCACUCAGGUGUCCCCAGUGGCCCUUGGGUGGUGGUGACACUCAGGUGUCCCCAGUGUCCUUUGGGUGGUGGUGGCACUCAGAUGUCCCCAGUGUCCAUUGGAUGCAGGUGGCAUUUGGUUGUCUUGGGUGUCCCCAAUGUCCAUUGGAUGGAGGUGGCACUCAGGCAUCCCCAAUGUCCCCAACGUCCAUUGGGUGGUGGUGGCACUUGUGUGACCCCAGUGUCCCCAACGUCCAUUGGGUGGUGGUGGCACUCAGGUGUCCCCAGUGUCACCAACGUCCAUUGGGUGGUGCUGGCACUUGUGUGACCCCAGUGUCCCCAACGGCCCUUGGGUAGAGGUGGCACUCAGGUGUCUCCAGUGUCCCCAACGUCCUUUGGGUGGAGGUGGCACUCAGGUGACCCCAGUGUCCC